AACGAACGCUGGCGGCAGGCCUAACACAUGCAAGUCGAACGCCGUAGCAAUACGGAGUGGCAGACGGGUGAGUAACGCGUGGGAACAUACCCCUGGUUCGGAAUAGCUCAGGGAAACUUGAGCUAAUACCGGAUACGUCCGAGGUUUUAAUCGACCUGGGAGAAAGAUUUAUCGCCGGAGGAUUGGCCCGCGUCUGAUUAGCUUGUUGGUGAGGUAAUGGCUUACCAAGGCUACGACUGUAACCGGCCUGAGAGGGCGGACGGUCACACUGACACUGAAUAACGGGUCAGACUCCUACGGGAGGCAGCAGGUCGGGAAUUUUGGGCAA
Molecule: ribosomal RNA, 328 nt
Filed under: uncultured bacterium
Lineage: Bacteria
Description: bacterial SSU rRNA
Rfam family: Bacterial small subunit ribosomal RNA
Source: RNAcentral